UCCCAGGUAGCUUAAUCGUAAAGCACCCAACCGUCAAUUGGGGGAUCUGGGUUCAAGUCCCGGUCCGGGCU
RNAcentral lists this transfer RNA (71 nucleotides) under Strigamia maritima. It matches the Rfam family "tRNA". From Rfam's summary of the family: Transfer RNA (tRNA) molecules are approximately 80 nucleotides in length. The record is from Rfam by way of RNAcentral. Lineage: Eukaryota; Metazoa; Arthropoda; Chilopoda; Geophilomorpha; Linotaeniidae.